UUCCGACUAAGAAACGUCUGUCGUUAUGUCAUUUAAGCUUCAAAACCCACUGCUUCCUCUUUAUUGCUUCUUAACUACCUCUUCAAGGACGGGCACGGCUUACGAAGAACGGGCACGGCAUAGAGUAUAUAAAUAGACAGUCUGAGAGUCUUCACAAGCAUUCAUAUGCCCCUUCCAUCAUAGAACCCUAAAUAUCUCUCAGCAUUCUCCAAGACGAGAUCCAUUUCUCUGAGCUACAGGUUUUUGUAUCAUGAUGUUGAAGUACAAUGGUGGAAAGCCGAGAGGUCGACCUAGCUUAAAAGUGCAGUCUAGAUUCAAGACCUAUUUUAGAUGCCAGAAGAACCUUUAGCUCCCCGUAAAGGGGCUGGGGCUGUUGUUCCACAAAUCAUUCUGAUAGUGUUGAUGUUAGUGUACCUGUCAACAGCACUGGACUCGGUGCUGACAGUGAACCUCAUGUAACCAGUACCGGUCUCCCUGGUGUGGCCAUGGACGAAGGCAUCCGACUCAAACACAAUUGAGGAAGGUAGCCCCUCCGCAAAGAAGCCACGCAAUGUCUAAAAACUCAACCAUCAGACAUCAUUACGCUUCCGUGUAGUGUCACAACUACUCUUACUAACUCUUUUUCUUUAAUUCCUCCAAAUGAAUUAA
Long non-coding RNA from Brassica oleracea var. oleracea, 648 nucleotides. RefSeq lists it as uncharacterized. The record is from RefSeq and is a predicted model, not a curated record. Lineage: Eukaryota; Viridiplantae; Streptophyta; Magnoliopsida; Brassicales; Brassicaceae. The transcript has 3 exons.